This is a long non-coding RNA of Pipistrellus kuhlii (Kuhl's pipistrelle), 483 nucleotides long. RefSeq lists it as uncharacterized. The record is from RefSeq and is a predicted model, not a curated record. The transcript has 4 exons. NCBI's taxonomy places the organism in Eukaryota, Metazoa, Chordata, Mammalia, Chiroptera, Vespertilionidae.
CUCCUCUUUGGUUGAGAAUGUCAUAUAAACCUCAUUUUUCCUUACUACCUAUGAACCUCUCAUGUAUGUGUGGUUCACUAUAUAUACAUAUGUAAUUAAAUUUGGUAAUUUUCUCUUGCUAAUCUCUUUUAUGUCUAUUUGAUUUUUAGACCAGCCAGAAGAACCUAGAAAGGUAGAGGAAAAUUUGUCCCUGCCCCAGUGGUGAAUCUGAACUUCACUCACAUUGCAAAGAGUUCUCUGCAAGGUGUGGAUCAUAUAUAAUAUGCCCUGGCCAGUGUGGUCCAGUGGUUGGAGCAUAGGCCUGCGCACCGAAGGGUCAAGGGUUGUACCUGGGUUAAAGGUUCAAUCCCUACUACAGUUGGGUGACUCUUGCUACAUGAACUUAAGCCCACCAUAGCAACAACAAUAGAAGAACCCUGCUUCCGAGUUACAUUUUCUCCAUUGAAGUACCUGCCUUAAUGCCACAAGAAUACAGAGAGAAAG